GGGACAGGAUGUCAGGGGGGUGUCUGGGUGCCCCAGAGCACCCACACCUCCCCCUCUUACCCCCCAGCUGCCCCCCCCUGGGGUGCCCAUAGCAAUGGCCCCCCCUCGGCUGCAGGCGCUUCUGGGGCGCUGGCGGGAGAAGGUCUUCACCCUCCUGGUGCAGCUGCGGGUGCAGGAGGAGGUGCAGCGGGUGCUGCGGGCGCAGGUGGGGACACUGGGGGCGGCGGUGACAGCGGGGACACGGCGGGUGAGGCGGCUAGAGCUGAGCCUGCGCGAGGGGGCGGCCACCGCUGAGCUGCAGCGGCGGGACAGAGAGCGCCUGGCACAGGAGGUGACACGGCAGCGGGGACGGGCAGAGGCGGCUGAGGAGGCACUGGGAGGACUGGUGCGGGCGGCUGCCAGGCUGGCCGAGGUGGUGACAGCACGCGAGGCUGAGGUGACAGCAGCCACCAGGACCAUGGUCACCCUCAGCGCCCGCCUGCGCCGGGCGGGACAGCGGCUCCGCGUCCUCCAGGCAGUGGCCUUGGGGGCGGCUGAGGAGGUGCCACACAGCGGGGUGACAAAGCAUGAGGUGACGCAGGACGAGGUCAUCCCCCACAAGGACAGGAGGGGACACCCCCCCAGCAGAGCGGCGCUGGGCUCCCUUGUGACUCAGCUGCAGGCCCUGGGCGCCGCCAUCCUCGAGGACAACGGUGACAACCCUGACCCCCCCUUGACCCCACUGCAGACCCAGCCAUCCCAGGAAGCGUUGAGUUGGAUGAGCACAAACCCAUCGCUGAACCUUCAUCCGAUGGAAAGAAUCCACCUAAAAAGUGCAGCGAGUGUCCCCGGGAGCUCCGGUAACACCCGCUGAGGUGUCACCACCCCGGGAGAUGUGGAGAACGACCCCC
This 890-nucleotide long non-coding RNA is filed under the name Athene cunicularia (burrowing owl). Its description in RNAcentral is "lncRNA (ENSACUG00000014889.1)". Lineage: Eukaryota; Metazoa; Chordata; Aves; Strigiformes; Strigidae. The record is from RNAcentral.